This is a long non-coding RNA of Dermochelys coriacea (leatherback sea turtle), 3559 nucleotides long. RefSeq lists it as uncharacterized. The record is from RefSeq and is a predicted model, not a curated record. The transcript is spliced from 4 exons. Lineage: Eukaryota; Metazoa; Chordata; Testudines; Dermochelyidae.
AGCAAGAUCCUGUGUGUAUAAACUCGACCAGAAACAUGUAAAUUAUAAGUUUAUUUAGGAAUGACCCCCUGGCGGAAACUCACAAGUCCGGCCAGGCCAGGCUCAGUUCGGAAUACUCGCACACAGCUUUCAGAAUAAUCAGGGCCCUGGGAAUGCUGCCAAAACUGUCCCAGAACUGAGAAAUUCUCCUCUUUCCUGGGGGCCUCUCAUCAGCAAGAUGGAGAAUCAGAGCAGACAGAGGAAGAAGAGCUCCACACAUGGCAGAGUUCGUCACCAAAUCGUUCCAAAAAGACCCAGCAAGUGUACUGAAUUGGACCCUUGAACUGUCCCAGGCUUAGUUCACGACAGACAAGUGCACCCGGAGAUAAGGUGUUUGCUUUUUGCUCCAAGCUGUGCAGGACACAAAGCAUGCUGCCUGUUAGAUUGUGUUUACAGUGUCUGGUAAAUAGAGGCUACAGAUGCACUAAUGCUGCAAAAAAACACUGCCGCGUCUUUGGUAAAAUGUUAAAGAAAGUCUCUUUGACUGGAUUAAAGUCCUUUUGAUUCCCCUUUCUGUGAACAUUCUAGCAAACAAGCUGUAAUGGCACUGUGAUUAAUUAGACCACUGUGUCUAAACUAAUAUGGUCACCACUUUUACAAAAUUGUGAUAAAUCUUGUACAAAGUAUGCCUUGUGAGGUAUCAUUGGAAAAAGUUAUUAUCUGCUGAGUAUUAUUAUCUUGUUGUACUGUGUGUAUCGACACUGUGUGUGAAGUUAUGAAAUUUUGCUUUAUGUUUAUAACUCAAACAUGAUUGUGAGUCUGAGAAAUGCCCACAGGUUAGCUCUUCAGCAAUAACGAAGGAACUGUAAACAAAAGCCUCUGCAUGUCAUUCCUGAAGACACCUCAAAUGGGCACCUGCACAGAAGGUGCAAGCAAAAAUUUGCAAUUCAUAUGAAGGACUGAUGGCAAAGCACAGACACAACUGAACUGCCUGACCCCAUGACACAGCAAAGAUUUUUUCCAGCAAAAAGGGUCAAGAUAUAAAAAGGGAGAAGAAAGGGUAGGAAAGAGGUGGCUAGGGUCCUAUCUCUGGACUGGUGAAUUCUGACACAGGAAAUUUUGAACAAAAAGAUGGAGGUCCCCAAAAACUAUUUGGGCACCCAGAGAGACUUAUAGAAAACUAGCAGAUUGAACAUCCCUGUUAUCGUUUUGGACUUAUAAACUCUAAUUCACCUGUAAUACAUUUCACCUGCUUUAGCUUCUAAAUAACUCAUUUAUUUUUCUUAGCUAAUAAAUCUUUAGUUAGUUUACCAAGAAAUUGACUGACAGCAUUGUCUUUCAGAGUAGCAGCCGUGUUAGUCUGUAUUCGCAAAAAGAAAAGGAGUACUUGUGGCACCUUAGAGACUAACAAAUUUAUUAGAGCAUAAGCUUUCGUGAGCUACAGCUCACUUCAUCGGAUGCAUUGUCUUUGCAGCUCUUGAGCAUCCAUUGACCUGGGGGUAAGUGACAGUCUCUUUAAGGUGGCUGUAAGAACCUAAAGAUGGUGAUUUUGGGUUUUAAUAACCUUUCAUCACAGACAUCCAGUUCAUCUGGGUGAUGGUAUAAGUUGGAGUAUCUAAGGGGACUGUUUGUGGCUCCAUAGUAAGUUAGUAUAGUGAUCCAGAAGCACACAUUUGUUGCUGAUUUGGUUAAAUCUAAUUAUAGGUUAUACUGCCAGUGAGGGAGUGUCUACCCCGUUCUUUGACAGUCUAACCUGAGACUGACUCUCUCAGCUGUGACCCAUAUCAGACAUCGUGACAGGCACAAAUACUCAGGAUAAGCAAAUCUGAAACCUGAAUAUUCACCAAAACUGAAUUUCAGGUGGUGAAAUUAACAGCAAUAGAAAGUGGAAUUUCACACCCAAUCAUGCAAUUCAGAAUUUACACUCUUUUGUUGAUUGAUAGCAUAAAUUAUCCAACCUGGGAAUGAGAAUAACAACACGUGAUUUAUGUAUGGCACCAACCCCACACAAAUUCCAUGUUCUGAAUAUUCACAUGGUGCUGUUUGCAAACAAUCUGCAGACCAGCAAUCAUUUUGCUGAAGAAAUUUGUGAAUAAUUAUGAACAGCUAAAUUUGAGAAUUUCAUGAAUUUGUUCAUAAAUGGUUUUGCAAACAGAAAGAAGCAAAAUUUGUCAACUAAAUGAUUUGUUAUGAACUAUUUGCCCAGCUCUAACAGAGACUGAAGAAUCCUAUAAACUUGUACUUACUGUUCCAUGAAGGUUUUUAUGCCCUGUCAAAGGAAAAAAGAGAAAGGUAAGAAGAGCUAUUUAUUAACUGUGUAAUUCUGUAUGGCACAUGUUAAUAGUAUUUAGAACCCCAGCAGCCAGCUAUAUGUUGUAGUGGAAAGGAAAUUGACAGUUUUCUUUGAACUCUCAAAGAAGAUGACCCUGACCGGCCAUAGUCUCUUCCUCUGAAACUGUCUCUAUCCUUCCUCCAGAGCAUGUUCCAUUUCUCCCUCCUAGCCAGGGUCUGACGGGUGAUUUCAGCAAACAUGCUUCUCAGGAUAUUUGGUAGUUCGCAGCUUGUUCUGGUUUUGAUAUUGGAGAUGCAACCAGUCCCUUAGAGGGAAUUAUGGGAAACGUCCUGCUUAGAAACAGUUCCAUGAAUAUAUUCUACUUUUUCUAUUUCCUUUCCUGUGGUCUUUGGCUGGGAUUGUCAAAGGGGCCAAAGGGAGUUUGGCACCCAAAUCCCAAGGAAAGUCCAUAGGAGUUGGGCACACUUUAGCUCCUUUGAAUUUCUCAGCUUUUAUUACACAGGACAAGUCAAUCAGAAUCCUUUCUUCCUGAGAUUUCAUCUGCUCCUAUUACUUAUUCCCCAACCAAAAUCACAAUACAUUGGCUGUCCCAGUGCAGGUCUUGGUAUCAGGAUUAUCACAGAGGAUCAGGAUUUCAGGAACUGGUGGAGCUUCAGAAACUCUAAGGAGAUGUGGUGCUGAAGAUGAAACUUGUUCUCCUGGAAAAAACACACAGUUUGUUAAUGGGAAAUAUUUGUACUCAGCAGCUUCAAAUAAAAACAUUUACUCAGAUAACUAAUUGCUACCAGCUCAUAAAGCACAAGUGACAAAUCACUUGUUUCAUAUUUUAUAAUUGCCAGUGUAUCCUGUGAACCAUUUAUACCUUUUUAGAGGAUUGUAGAAUCUGCUUUACAAGGACAGACCCUUGGUCUGUCAAGUCUGCUAUUGAACUCUAGCCAGGACAAAAACAAAACAGUUAUUAACAUGUUCUAUAACUUUUGUUCUUCGAGAUGUGUUGCAUAUGUCCAUUCCACUUUAAGUGUAUGCAUGCCCAGUGCACUAUUGUCAAAGAUUUUUUUUCCCUAGAGGUACCCCAUUGGGACAGCGCAUACAUUAUCUACCCUGUUAAUGUAAAACACAAAUGUUACUAGUGGUCAAAGCAUUAUCCUCAAGAAGCAAAAGAGGAUGCAAAACAGGCAGCACUGAGCAAACCUCAUGUUAUGAAAGUCUGGCCCAUCUUCAACAGGUGCUUUCUGAUUGUGCUGCUGUCUUGAAACUCAUUAAUAUUGCAAUAAAUGUAAGGUUGUU